CUGGUAGAAUUCCAGCGAUUUGUCCCCAAGCAGCGACACACCUGCAUUUCCCAGUAGUUUAGACAUUGAGUUGCAGAUGCUAAGAAACUCUGGAAGAACCUCAGGGACACAUAUGUCAGGAAGAAAAGGGAGGAGAAAGAGACAAAGAGUAGCCAGGCAGGGAAACAAAAGAAGAGGUGGAAAUACAUGGAUGCCAUGUCCUUGAGAUGUCAACAGCUUUCAGGAGGGUGUACAGCAAUCUAGAGCAUCCAGAGCAGGAGGAGAGUGAAGGAGAGACGACUGCAACUGCAACAGUCUACUGCACAAACAGCUGGUUGUGUCUUCUGAAACUUGCUGUCCUGUCCACAUAACGCUCGCACAGGGCAAAAAGUAUUC
Thunnus maccoyii (southern bluefin tuna) is the source of this 375-nucleotide long non-coding RNA. RefSeq lists it as uncharacterized. The record is from RefSeq and is a predicted model, not a curated record. The transcript is spliced from 3 exons. NCBI's taxonomy places the organism in Eukaryota, Metazoa, Chordata, Actinopteri, Scombriformes, Scombridae.